GAGUUUGAUCGUGGCUCAGAUUGAACGCUGGCGGCAUGCCUUACACAUGCAAGUCGAACGGCAGCAUGAUCUAGCUUGCUAGAUUGAUGGCGAGUGGCGAACGGGUGAGUAAUACAUCGGAACGUGCCCUGUAGUGGGGAGUAACUAGUCGAAAGAUUAGCUAAUACCGCAUACGACCUGAGGGUGGAAAGUAGGGGGACCGG
This 203-nucleotide ribosomal RNA is filed under the name uncultured microorganism. RNAcentral's name for it is "partial 16S ribosomal RNA". It matches the Rfam family "Bacterial small subunit ribosomal RNA", at positions 9 to 213 of the family's 1533-position model. The record is from RNAcentral.